Molecule: long non-coding RNA, 806 nt
Organism: Ctenopharyngodon idella (grass carp)
Lineage: Eukaryota; Metazoa; Chordata; Actinopteri; Cypriniformes; Xenocyprididae
Exons: 3
Source: RefSeq, a predicted model, not a curated record
CUUUGCUCACAGUCGUGACGAAGUAGAACAGGAAGAUGACCAGCACUAUGAGAGGACUGAUCACCCUCCAGGUGGCCUGCCAGAAGAAGUUGGGCUUGUGACCGAUCAUGAACUUGAUGUCAUCGUUGAACCUGUGUACAGAGAACAGCUGUCAAGCAUAAAGAGCUGAGACUCACUGCACAGAGUUGUAGCUGGAGAAUGAGAUCAGUCCUCCAAACGCCAGAGAGAAGGAGUAAAACACCUGCGCUCCUGCGUCCAGCCACGUCGCCGGAUUCAGCAGCUCGUCCAGCUGAACGAGACACGCUAAACAGCUGGACAGAGAAGGUGGAAGAAAAGGAACACGAGGGCUUUGAAGACAGAUGAAAAUUGAUACCAUAUUUUCUAAAAAACAUAGCCAAGAGGACGCAAGUAAAUGAUGAAUAGAAGAGGGCCCAAGACCGAACCCUGGGGAACACCAGUGGUGACUUUAGAUGAUUUUGAUUGGAAAUGUUUAAGUUGAACGAACUGAGUUCGACAAGAGAGUUAAUUUAAGAGUUGGGGGAACAAGGCCAGAAACAAGUGAGGAAUUUACCAUUUUAGUAUCUAAAUAAGACAAAUAUGGUAGACAGGCUUUAGCUAAGUCAGUUGGUAAAGAGUCGAGCUGACAGGUGGUAUUAUUUGGAUUUCCAGAUAUGACAAAGUAUCUCCUCAACAGUUGAUAGAGUGAAAGUAGAAAGGACAGAAUGUGGAGGCACAGGAGAAACUAGAUAGAAGGAAUCACAACCUGAAUUAUUUACAAGUGAACUGAACUGAAUGUAGUCGGGUCA